Molecule: RNase P RNA, 401 nt
Filed under: bovine gut metagenome
Description: Bacterial RNase P class A
Rfam family: Bacterial RNase P class A
About the family: Ribonuclease P (RNase P) is a ubiquitous endoribonuclease, found in archaea, bacteria and eukarya as well as chloroplasts and mitochondria.
Source: RNAcentral
GAUGCUGAGAGGAAAGUCCGGGCAGCUCGAGCCACCAUGCUUCCUAACGGGAAGGCACUGGUUUGGUUAUAGGUUAUAGGUUAUAGGUUAUAGAGGCUGACGCAGUCAAUUUCAAUAACUGAAAGCCAAUGGUCUAAAGCCAAUCUGGUGACAGCGAGCGCCACAGAAAACAAACCGCCUUUUAUCGUAAGGUGAGAGGUAAGGGUGAAAACGCGGGGUAAGAGCCCACGACGUGAUGCGGUGACGCACACGAUGGCAAGCCUCAUGGGCUGAAAGACCAUGUAUACCAACAUUUAAGGGCAGGCUCGCCCGUUGUUGGGGGGUAGGUUGAUAGAGACCGUCGGCGACGGCGGCCCUAGAUUAAUGAUAGAACACGACAGAACCCGGCUUACAGACCCACG